GACUCUGUAGCUCAAUUGGUUAGAGCACUGCACUGGAAUAGCAGGGUCACAGGUUCGAUUCCUGCCAGAGGAC
Non-coding RNA from Paramuricea clavata, 73 nucleotides. NCBI's taxonomy places the organism in Eukaryota, Metazoa, Cnidaria, Anthozoa, Malacalcyonacea, Plexauridae. The record is from the annotation of a GenBank genome assembly.